RNAcentral lists this unclassified non-coding RNA (401 nucleotides) under Melitaea cinxia (Glanville fritillary). Its description in RNAcentral is "misc RNA ENSMCXG00005022466.1". Lineage: Eukaryota; Metazoa; Arthropoda; Insecta; Lepidoptera; Nymphalidae. The record is from RNAcentral.
UAUUCAAACAUGUUUAUAAACGACUAAAAAUGGAAUUAAAGUUUAUAAUUACUUAAAGUAAGUAACCCCUGGUUCGAAAUAUAGAUUCUGGUGAGUAGAAUCGAAAAGAAAAUAAAGUUUGUCGUGCGUUAAAAAAAUAUAUGUAAUAAAUAAAUAUAAAUGUAAUUAAAUUAAAGAACAAUAAAAAUAUACGUUACAAGUUGCUUUUCAAAAAAAAAAAACCAUCAAUCACAAGACUUAUCUUGGUUCAUGUCGGCAUUCAAUACGCCACAAUUCGUACACGCCACAAUACGUACAAUUCUAAAUCUGUUGAUGACCUUCAAUUUUUUAUUAAUGAAUAUUUCACCGGACAAACGUACAGUCCUAGCUGUACAUUAUAGUCUAUAUAUGUCUAACAAAUU